AUGGUGGGAUUUUGGCUCCCUGUCAUGAACUGCCAUCCGCCAUCGAUAACACUGGGCCCUGAAUCUAAAACUGUUACUGAUAAGAAGAGAAACACACAUUACUAUUUAGGUUUAAACCUUUAUUUUCUUUCAAGUUUACGCCGAGAUUGCUGUUUAUGUAUUCUUUAUCUCAGAACACUUUUUUUUUUCUCUGUAAAAUAUACUGAACUGGCAGUGGUUAGAAAUAGGGAGAGGCAAGAAAGUCAAGAGUGGAUUGAAGCUUAUUUGGCUUGCUGUUUUGUGGUUGAUAUGGAAGUCAUGGAAUGGUCAUUUGUUUAA
Molecule: non-coding RNA, 318 nt
Organism: Vicia faba (fava bean)
Lineage: Eukaryota; Viridiplantae; Streptophyta; Magnoliopsida; Fabales; Fabaceae
Source: the annotation of a GenBank genome assembly